CCAGACUCCUACGGGAGGCAGCAGUGGGGAAUAUUGCACAAUGGGGGGAACCCUGAUGCAGCGACGCCGCGUGGGUGAAGGAGUACUUCGGAAUGUAAAGCCCUAUCAGCAGGAAAGAAAAUGACGGUACCUGACUAAGAAGCCCCGGCUAACUACGUGCCAGCAGCCGCGGUAAUACGUAGGGGGCAAGCGUUAUCCGGAUUUACUGGGUGUAAAGGGAGCGUAGACGGCAGUGCAAGUCCGGAGUGAAAGCCCGGGGCUCAACCCUGGGACUGCUCUGGAAACUGUAAAGCUGGAGGGCGGGAGGGGCAGGCGGAAUUCCUGGUGUAGCGGUGAAAUGCGUAGAUAUCAGGAGGAACACCGGCGGCGAAGGCGGCCUGCUGGACCGUGACUGACGUUGAGGCUCGAGAGCGUGGGGAGCAAACAGGAUUAGAUACCCGCGUAACG
RNAcentral lists this ribosomal RNA (447 nucleotides) under uncultured bacterium. RNAcentral's name for it is "bacterial SSU rRNA". It matches the Rfam family "Bacterial small subunit ribosomal RNA", at positions 331 to 793 of the family's 1533-position model. The record is from RNAcentral.